UAGACUAUCUUGAGAUUUUAAAAACCAAACAAACUCCUUUUAACAGCUCUUCAGAAGGAAAUCAAAUAGCAAGCAUGCACAAAUACUGUAUAGUUUUACAUGUUAGGAAAUUUAUGAUCUCACAGCUGAAUUUUCAAGAAGAACCAUUCAUUCUCAGCAUAUGAUGAAGGAAAAUAGCAUUUGAAUGCUGUAAGCAGUCAUGAACUGACACCACAUUGGAGCAUUUGAGUAAUUUAAGCUGCUUCUGAAGAUGGAAAAAGAAAAAGAAGAAGCUAUUGCAUUAACAGUUUUCUUCUUCAGGUAGGUGUCUUCAUUAAUUCUCAUUAAUAGCUCAUGAACAAGCAAUAACUGAAUCCUACAGAUAGUUACACAUUUAAAUACAUUUCAGUCAGGGGUUUUACCAUACUGAUUUUCUAGUUCCAUCUUUGCAGAGGUGGGUGCUUUAGUUAGCCUGGAGAGGACUAAGAAUUCUUAAACAUUAGAAGACAAGAAUUUUUAUUUUACAUGUACACAGAAGC
Molecule: long non-coding RNA, 518 nt
Filed under: Junco hyemalis (dark-eyed junco)
Lineage: Eukaryota; Metazoa; Chordata; Aves; Passeriformes; Passerellidae
Description: lncRNA (ENSJHYG00000015693.1)
Source: RNAcentral